CUUGGUCAUUUAGAGGAAGUAAAAGUCGUAACAAGGUUUCCUCACCUAUUGAAGCCUUCAGCAGCGACUGUAAAGAAAUGCGUAGUUUGCUGCAAGCAAUGCCACUCAAAUGCUGAGACAUAUGAAUCAGCAGCCUUUUAGCUCACAGAUCAAAUUGUGGUAACCAUUCUUAUGGGCAAGAUAUGACCGUCCUAACUAGAGUUAGUUAAGAAUCCACGUUCCGUAGGUGAACCUGCGGAGGAUCAUUAAAGGUUUCGGGUACCCAGUGCCCAAACUUCAACCCUAUGUUUAACUAUACAUGUUUCUUUGCCGGUUUCGGCCGGCAGAAGUUUUCUCAACUCCAUAAAUGUGUCUUCUGAAUCAACUAAAUAAAUUAAAACUUUCACAACGGAUCUCUUGGUUCUGGCAUCGAUGAAGAACGCAGCGAAAUGCGAAAGUAAUGUGAAUUGCAGAAUUCAGUGAAUCAUCGAAUCUUUGAACGCAAUUGCGCCCUUUGGCAUUCCGAAGGGCAUACCUGUUCGAGCGUCAUUACCCCCUCAAAGAUAGCUCUUUGGCGUUGGGCAAUGCCUAAAGGCAUGCCUAAAAUCAGCGAUGGUGAUAUUCAACCACAGGCGCACACACGUCGUCUAGUGGCGGGAUGUUGUCAGUCAAUUGAUGAAUUUCUAAUGUUGACCUCGGACGAGGUAGGAAUACCCAGUUAGGAGUUUGGGAACAUGACUCUUACUUUA
Molecule: ribosomal RNA, 728 nt
Filed under: uncultured fungus
Lineage: Eukaryota; Fungi
Description: eukaryotic LSU rRNA
Rfam family: 5.8S ribosomal RNA (bases 377-528)
Source: RNAcentral